This 459-nucleotide ribosomal RNA is filed under the name uncultured bacterium. RNAcentral's name for it is "partial 16S ribosomal RNA". It matches the Rfam family "Bacterial small subunit ribosomal RNA", at positions 338 to 795 of the family's 1533-position model. The record is from RNAcentral.
CCUACGGGUGGCAGCAGUGAGGAAUAUUGGUCAAUGGGAGAGAUCCUGAACCAGCCCAGCCGCGUGAGGGAAGACGGCCCUAUGGGUUGUAAACCUCUUUUGUCGGAGAACAAAACCCGGGAUGUGUCUCGGAUUGCGUGGAGCCGAAGAAAAAGCAACGGCUAACUCCGUGCCAGCAGCCGCGGUAAUACGGAGGAUGCGAGCGUUAUCCGGAUUUAUUGGGUUUAAAGGGUGCGUAGGCGGUCAGUUAAGUCAGCGGUAAAAUUGCGGGGCUCAAACCCGUCGAGCCGUUGAAACUGGCAGACUUGAGUUGGCGAGAAGUACGCGGAAUGCGCGGUGUAGCGGUGAAAUGCGUAGAUAUCACGCAGAACUCCGGUUGCGAAGGCAGCGUACCGGCGCCAGACUGACGCUGAGGCACGAAAGCGUGGGGAUCGAACAGGAUUAGAUACCCGAGUAGUC